AGGAUAUCAACAUCUGAACUCUUUCAUCCCUCCCUGACGACUACAGUAGAAAACAGAGGAGAAAAUGCCUCCCAAACGAUCAAAGAACAUGGGAGAUAUUAGGGACUUUCUUUCCAAGCAAACGAACAGUCCCAGUGGCAGCAGCAGCAAAGCAAGCAUGCAGCCAGAAGGACC
Molecule: long non-coding RNA, 174 nt
Organism: Pundamilia nyererei
Lineage: Eukaryota; Metazoa; Chordata; Actinopteri; Cichliformes; Cichlidae
Exons: 3
Source: RefSeq, a predicted model, not a curated record